GAAAUCAACCGAGAUUCCGCUAGUAGUGGCGAGCGAACGCGGAAGAGGCCAAACCAAGAGUAGUAAUACUUUUGGGGUUUUGGACAGCGUACGGUAUUAACUGCGGUUAGUAGAAUGAAAUGGGAAGUUCAACCACAGAGCGUGAUAGUCGCGUACACGAAAACUAAAGUUAGCCAGCUGGAUCCAGAGUACCGCCGGACACGUGAAACCCGGUGGGAAGACGGGGGGACCACCCUCCAAGCCUAAAUACUCUCCAAUGACCGAUAGUGUAUAGUACUGUGAAGGAAAGGUGAAAAGAACCCCUGGCGGGGAGUGAAAUAGAACCUGAAACCUUGUGCCUACAAGCACAUAGAGCGCGUCAAUGCGUGAUAUGGUACCUUUUGUAGAAUGGUCCGGCGAGUGAAUGUCACUGGCAAGGUUAAGCUCUUCAGGAGUGCAGCCGAAGCGAAAGCGAGUCUGAAAUGGGCGUUUUUAGUCAGUGGUAUUCGACCCGAAACCGGGUGACCUAGCCAUGAGCAGGCUGAAGUGGAGGUAAAACUCCAUGGAGGGCCGAACCCACUCCCGUUGAAAUGGUAGGGGAUGACUUGUGGCUAGCGGAGAAAUUCCAAUCGAACCCGGAGAUAGCUGGUUCUCUCCGAAAUAGCUUUAGGGCUAGCCUCAAUUAACAUUACCGCAGGUAAAGCACUGAAUGAGCUAGGGGGCGAAAGCUUACUGAACUCUAUCAAACUCAGAAUGGCGGAUAAUGAAUGAUUGGGAGUCACACUACGUGAGAUAAGUUUCGUGGUGGAAAGGGAAACAGCCCAGACCCACAGCUAAGGUCCCAAAGUACAGUUAAGUGGAAAAGGAUGUGAAAUUGCGCAGACAACCAGGAUGUUGGCUCAGAAGCAGCCACUCAUUCAAAGAGUGCGUAAUAGCUCACUGGUCGAGUGAUUUUGCGCCGAAAAUUUAACGGGGCUAAACUGUACACCGAAGCUUGGGAAUAUACAUUUGUAUGUUGGUAGGAGAGCGUUGUGUAAGGGGUGAAGUCGUAGCGAAAGCGGCGGUGGACUUUACACAAGUGAGAAUGCCGGAAUGAGUAGCGAGAAUUAUGUGAGAAUCAUAAUGGCCGAAAGACUAAGGUUUUAGAAGGAAGGUUCGUCCGCUUCUAGUUAGCCGGGAGCUAAGGCGAGGCCGAGAGGCGUAGUCGAUGCACAUACGGUUGAGAUUCCGUAGCUACCUUGCAUUUAAGCGAAGGGACACAUUUGAAGGGCAUGACCCGGGCGUUGGUUGACCCGGGCGUAAGGGACCGAAAAUAAGUAGGGAAGCAUGCUUGGAUGGUGGCGAGAAAAGCUUCGUGUAUAUAAGCAGGGUACCCGUACUGCAAACCGACACAGGUAGUCAGGAAGAGGAUUCUAAGGCCAUCGGGAGAAGCGUUGUUAAGGAACUCGGCAAAUUGACCCCGUAACUUCGGAAUAAGGGGUGCUCACGCGAGUGAGCCGCAGUGAAUAGGUCCAGGCAACUGUUUAUCAAAAACACAGCUCUCUGCUAAAUCGUAAGAUGACGUAUAGGGGGUGACACCUGCCCGGUGCUGGAAGGUUAAGAGGAGGGGUGCAAGCUCCGAAUUGAAGCCCCAGUAAACGGCGGCCGUAACUAUAACGGUCCUAAGGUAGCGAAAUUCCUUGUCGGGUAAGUUCCGACCCGCACGAAUGGUGUAAUGAUCUGGACACUGUCUCAACAACGCACCCGGCGAAAUUGUAGUACCGGUGAAGAUGCCGGUUACCCGCGGCAAGACGGGAAGACCCCAUGGAGCUUCACUGUAGCCUGAUAUUGGGUCUCGGUAUUUUAUGUACAGGAUAGGCGGGAGACUUGGAAACCAGCACGCCAGUGUUGGCGGAGUCACCCUUGGGAUACCGCUCUUAAAGUAUUGAGAUUCUAACCUGCAGCCAUGAAUCUGGCUGGGGGACAUUGUCAGGUGGGCAGUUUGACUGGGGCGGUCGCCUCCAAAAGAGUAACGGAGGCGUUCAAAGGUUCACUCAGCAUGGACGGAAACCAUGCCUUAGAGUGCAAACGCAUAAGUGAGCCUAACUGCGAGACUGACGGGUCGAGCAGUAACGAAAGUUGGAGUUAGUGAU
This 2111-nucleotide ribosomal RNA is filed under the name human gut metagenome. Its description in RNAcentral is "bacterial LSU rRNA". It matches the Rfam family "Bacterial large subunit ribosomal RNA", at positions 221 to 2419 of the family's 2925-position model. The record is from RNAcentral.